GCCACACUGAGUGCAGUGGGUAGCACUGUCGCCUCACAGAAGGAAGGUCCUGGGUUUGAAACCCAGCCUGGGCA
Molecule: transfer RNA, 74 nt
Filed under: Anguilla anguilla (European eel)
Lineage: Eukaryota; Metazoa; Chordata; Actinopteri; Anguilliformes; Anguillidae
Description: tRNA-OTHER
Source: RNAcentral